ACCAUGAGAGUCGAUAACACCCGAAGCCUGUGAGCUAACCGUAAGGAGGCAGCAGUCGAAGGUGGGGUUGAUGAUUGGGGUGAAGUCGUAACAAGGUACC
This 100-nucleotide ribosomal RNA is filed under the name uncultured bacterium. RNAcentral describes it as "partial 16S ribosomal RNA". It matches the Rfam family "Bacterial small subunit ribosomal RNA", at positions 1401 to 1500 of the family's 1533-position model. The record is from RNAcentral.